CCUACCUCUGGAGGUAUUGUAGGUGUGGUUGCUGUGUCACAUGUGUGUCCUUAGGUGGCAGAGAGGGGAGAGGCUGUGUCUCUGCUCAGCGUUCUGAUUUAUGGACAUCUGAAUGAUUCGUAGCCUAGCAUU
Molecule: small nucleolar RNA, 132 nt
Organism: Arvicanthis niloticus (Nile rat)
Lineage: Eukaryota; Metazoa; Chordata; Mammalia; Rodentia; Muridae
Product: small nucleolar RNA SNORA17
Source: RefSeq, a predicted model, not a curated record